UUAAGCGACUAAGCGUACACGGUGGAUGCCCUGGCAGUCAGAGGCGAUGAAGGACGUGCUAAUCUGCGAUAAGCGUCGGUAAGGUGAUAUGAACCGUUAUAACCGGCGAUUUCCGAAUGGGGAAACCCAGUGUGUUUCGACACACUAUCAUUAACUGAAUCCAUAGGUUAAUGAGGCGAACCGGGGGAACUGAAACAUCUAAGUACCCCGAGGAAAAGAAAUCAACCGAGAUUCCCCAGUAGCGGCGAGCGAACGGGGAGGAGCCCAGAGCCUGAAUCAGUGUGUGUGUUAGUGGAAGCGUCUGGAAAGGCGCGCGAUACAGGGUGACAGCCCCGUACACAAAAAUGCACAUGCUGUGAGCUCGAUGAGUAGGGCGGGGACACGUGGUAUCCUGUCUGAAUAUGGGGGGACCAUCCUCCAAGGCUAAAUACUCCUGACUGACCGAUAGUGAACCAGUACCGUGAGGGAAAGGCGAAAAGAACCCCGGCGAGGGGAGUGAAAAAGAACCUGAAACCGUGUACGUACAAGCAGUGGGAGCACGCUUAGGCGUGUGACUGCGUACCUUUUGUAUAAUGGGUCAGCGACUUAUAUUCUGUAGCAAGGUUAACCGAAUAGGGGAGCCGAAGGGAAACCGAGUCUUAACUGGGCGUUAAGUUGCAGGGUAUAGACCCGAAACCCGGUGAUCUAGCCAUGGGCAGGUUGAAAGUUGGGUAACACUAACUGGAGGACCGAACCGACUAAUGUUGAAAAAUUAGCGGAUGACUUGUGGCUGGGGGUGAAAGGCCAAUCAAACCGGGAGAUAGCUGGUUCUCCCCGAAAGCUAUUUAGGUAGCGCCUCGUGAAUUCAUCUCCGGGGGUAGAGCACUGUUUCGGCAAGGGGGUCAUCCCGACUUACCAACCCGAUGCAAACUGCGAAUACCGGAGAAUGUUAUCACGGGAGACACACGGCGGGUGCUAACGUCCGUCGUGAAGAGGGAACAACCAGACCGCCAGCUAAGGUCCCAAAGUCAUGGUUAAGUGGGAACGAUGUGGGAAGGCCCAGACAGCCAGGAUGUUGGCUUAGAAGCAGCCAUCAUUUAAAGAAAGCGUAAUAGCUCACUGGUCGAGUCGGCCUGCGCGGAAGAUGUAACGGGGCUAAACCAUGCACCGAAGCUGCGGCAGCGACGCUGAUGCGUUGUUGGGUAGGGGAGCGUUCUGUAAGCCUGUGAAGGUGUGCUGUGAGGCAUGCUGGAGGUAUCAGAAGUGCGAAUGCUGACAUAAGUAACGAUAAAGCGGGUGAAAAGCCCGCUCGCCGGAAGACCAAGGGUUCCUGUCCAACGUUAAUCGGGGCAGGGUGAGUCGACCCCUAAGGCGAGGCCGAAAGGCGUAGUCGAUGGGAAACAGGUUAAUAUUCCUGUACUUGGUGUUACUGCGAAGGGGGGACGGAGAAGGCUAUGUUGGCCGGGCGACGGUUGUCCCGGUUUAAGCGUGUAGGCUGGUUUUCCAGGCAAAUCCGGAAAACUAAGGCUGAGGCGUGAUGACGAGGCACUACGGUGCUGAAGCAACAAAUGCCCUGCUUCCAGGAAAAGCCUCUAAGCAUCAGGUAACAUCAAAUCGUACCCCAAACCGACACAGGUGGUCAGGUAGAGAAUACCAAGGCGCUUGAGAGAACUCGGGUGAAGGAACUAGGCAAAAUGGUGCCGUAACUUCGGGAGAAGGCACGCUGAUAUGUAGGUGAAGUCCCUCGCGGAUGGAGCUGAAAUCAGUCGAAGAUACCAGCUGGCUGCAACUGUUUAUUAAAAACACAGCACUGUGCAAACACGAAAGUGGACGUAUACGGUGUGACGCCUGCCCGGUGCCGGAAGGUUAAUUGAUGGGGUCAGCGCAAGCGAAGCUCUUGAUCGAAGCCCCGGUAAACGGCGGCCGUAACUAUAACGGUCCUAAGGUAGCGAAAUUCCUUGUCGGGUAAGUUCCGACCUGCACGAAUGGCGUAAUGAUGGCCAGGCUGUCUCCACCCGAGACUCAGUGAAAUUGAACUCGCUGUGAAGAUGCAGUGUACCCGCGGCAAGACGGAAAGACCCCGUGAACCUUUACUAUAGCUUGACACUGAACAUUGAGCCUUGAUGUGUAGGAUAGGUGGGAGGCUUUGAAGUGUGGACGCCAGUCUGCAUGGAGCCGACCUUGAAAUACCACCCUUUAAUGUUUGAUGUUCUAACGUUGACCCGUAAUCCGGGUUGCGGACAGUGUCUGGUGGGUAGUUUGACUGGGGCGGUCUCCUCCUAAAGAGUAACGGAGGAGCACGAAGGUUGGCUAAUCCUGGUCGGACAUCAGGAGGUUAGUGCAAUGGCAUAAGCCAGCUUGACUGCGAGCGUGACGGCGCGAGCAGGUGCGAAAGCAGGUCAUAGUGAUCCGGUGGUUCUGAAUGGAAGGGCCAUCGCUCAACGGAUAAAAGGUACUCCGGGGAUAACAGGCUGAUACCGCCCAAGAGUUCAUAUCGACGGCGGUGUUUGGCACCUCGAUGUCGGCUCAUCACAUCCUGGGGCUGAAGUAGGUCCCAAGGGUAUGGCUGUUCGCCAUUUAAAGUGGUACGCGAGCUGGGUUUAGAACGUCGUGAGACAGUUCGGUCCCUAUCUGCCGUGGGCGCUGGAGAACUGAGGGGGGCUGCUCCUAGUACGAGAGGACCGGAGUGGACGCAUCACUGGUGUUCGGGUUGUCAUGCCAAUGGCACUGCCCGGUAGCUAAAUGCGGAAGAGAUAAGUGCUGAAAGCAUCUAAGCACGAAACUUGCCCCGAGAUGAGUUCUCCCUGACUCCUUGAGAGUCCUGAAGGAACGUUGAAGACGACGACGUUGAUAGGCCGGGUGUGUAAGCGCAGCGAUGCGUUGAGCUAACCGGUACUAAUGAACCGUGAGGCUUAACCUU
RNAcentral lists this ribosomal RNA (2899 nucleotides) under Escherichia coli DEC8B. Its description in RNAcentral is "bacterial LSU rRNA". It matches the Rfam family "Bacterial large subunit ribosomal RNA". Lineage: Bacteria; Pseudomonadati; Pseudomonadota; Gammaproteobacteria; Enterobacterales; Enterobacteriaceae. The record is from RNAcentral.